CACAGCAGCAGAUGACUUUAGUAGUUAGUGUCAUGCGUUCGUAAGGUAUUGUGUUGCGUUUUCUGUGUAAUAUGUAAGUGAUUUGAUGGUGGAGACAGGAAAUCACGGAAAGACACAUAUUUGAGUGUGUGGCUUAGGAGGGCAAUCAUGGACUACAAGGGAACUAGUUGGGUGAAAAAAGAGAAGAAUGAAAUAUAUGCUGAACCAGAAUCCUUGUAUCGCUCACAUGCCAGCAACCCUACCUUGGCAGUGUCCGUGGUUCGUUUGGUGUGGGGGCUGUGCACUAUUGUUUAAAGUGCUGUCUUGGAGCAGAAGAAAUAGUUUUAGCAUUUAUAUUUGUAGAACUACUUAGUUAUCUGUAUGAACAUAAAUAACAAUUCUGCAAUACUGUAUUGGUACACAUACAAAGAAACAGAUGAAAACUGUUGCUAUGUCUGAGAUUUGAGGCUGUAACUCCUGGUUUCAGGAUCAGUUACUUUAACAAUUACCCUAACCAAGCAUGCCUCCAGGGCUGCCAAGGGGAUGUCAAUUGUGUGUCCUCAUAGAUUUUCAUCUUAGGUUCAGGAUUUUAAGGUCAGCGACCAGCCAAUAAUUUUGUAAAGCAGUGUGACACAGUUCUCCAUAGAAGUAGAAACAAGAAAUGCAUUUGGCAGUUGGGUGAUUUGUGAGUGCUGUUAAGUAUAAAAAAUUUAUUAUACAGUUGUCUGUAGAUGAGUGCAUAUGAUAAAAAUAUAAUAAUCAUAAAAUUGGUGGUUCAGAUAACACUGAUUGCUACCAGUUCUUUUAGUUUUAUUUACAUUCCAUAUGUAAAACAAAUGGUAAUUUUAAUUCAUGCUGAACCAUACUUUAUUAAAAAGUUAUUUUUAAUUAUAAGUUACAUAAAAUGCAAGUAUUGUUGAAAAGUUACAAUUUGGUACAAAAAUGGAGAGCAUCAAAUGGAAAAUAA
Long non-coding RNA from Schistocerca serialis cubense, 946 nucleotides. RefSeq lists it as uncharacterized. NCBI's taxonomy places the organism in Eukaryota, Metazoa, Arthropoda, Insecta, Orthoptera, Acrididae. The transcript has 3 exons. The record is from RefSeq and is a predicted model, not a curated record.